This 224-nucleotide ribosomal RNA is filed under the name uncultured Enterobacterales bacterium. Its description in RNAcentral is "partial 16S ribosomal RNA". It matches the Rfam family "Bacterial small subunit ribosomal RNA", at positions 108 to 334 of the family's 1533-position model. Lineage: Bacteria; Pseudomonadati; Pseudomonadota; Gammaproteobacteria; Enterobacterales. The record is from RNAcentral.
GAGUAAUGUCUGGGAAACUGCCUGAUGGAGGGGGAGUAACUACUGGAAACGGUAGCUAAUACCGCAUAACGUCGCAAGACCAAAGUGGGGGACCUUCGGGCCUCAUGCCAUCAGAUGUGCCCAGAUGGGAUUAGCUAGUAGGUGGGGUAAUGGCUCACCUAGGCGACGAUCCCUAGCUGGUCUGAGAGGAUGACCAGCCACACUGGAACUGAGACACGGUCCAG